CUUGGAGUUUUUCCUCAAUUUUUUUUUCACCCAAUUGAAUCUAAUGAUACCUCACUGAGAAUAGAGAUGUCAUGAACCAGCUGCAAUAAAGAACAAGUUGGUGACCUCAGAAGUUUGAAGAAUAAAAAAAUUGAGAAAGGCAGGGGCUUACACCAAGAAGACCAUCAUAUGAGGCAUUCACAACCUCAUCUAGAGGACGAGAUUUCUUCUCCACC
RNAcentral lists this long non-coding RNA (215 nucleotides) under Elaeis guineensis (African oil palm). RNAcentral's name for it is "long non-coding RNA (EGUI_LNC067659)". Lineage: Eukaryota; Viridiplantae; Streptophyta; Magnoliopsida; Arecales; Arecaceae. The record is from RNAcentral.